RNAcentral lists this ribosomal RNA (207 nucleotides) under uncultured bacterium. Its description in RNAcentral is "partial 16S ribosomal RNA". It matches the Rfam family "Bacterial small subunit ribosomal RNA", at positions 568 to 774 of the family's 1533-position model. The record is from RNAcentral.
CUCGUAGGCGGUUCGUCGCGUCCGGUGUGAAAGUCCAUCGCUUAACGGUGGAUCCGCGCCGGGUACGGGCGGGCUUGAGUGCGGUAGGGGAGACUGGAAUUCCCGGUGUAACGGUGGAAUGUGUAGAUAUAUGGAAGAACACCAGUGGCGAAGGCGGCUUACUGGACAACAACUGACGUUGAGGCUCGAAAGUGUGGGUAGCAAACA